RNAcentral lists this ribosomal RNA (535 nucleotides) under uncultured archaeon. RNAcentral describes it as "bacterial SSU rRNA". It matches the Rfam family "Archaeal small subunit ribosomal RNA", at positions 457 to 997 of the family's 1478-position model. The record is from RNAcentral.
GGCAGCAGCCGCGGUAAUACCCGCAGCCCGAGUGGUGGUCGAUUUAUGAGUCUAAAACGUCGUAGCCGGUCUGAUAAUCCCUGGGUAAAUCGGGUGGCUUAACCAUCCGAAUCCGGGAGACUGUCAGGCUUGGGAUCGGGAGAGGUAUGAGGUACUUCAGGGGUAGGGGUAAAAUCCUGUAAUCCUUGGAGGACCACCGGUGGCGAAGGCGUCAUACUAGAACGAAUCCGACGGUGAGGGACGAAGCCCUAGGUCGCAAACGGGAUUAGAUACCCCGGUAGUCUAGGGUGUAAACGCUGCAGACUAGGUGUUGGAGGCCCUACGGGGGCACCCAGUGCCCGAGAGAAGUUGUUAAGUCUGCUACUUGGGGAGUACGUCCGCAAGGAUGAAACUUAAAGGAAUUGGCGGGGGAGCACCGCCAACGGGAGGAGCGUGCGGUUUAAUUGGAUUCAACACCGGAAAACUCACCAAGGGAGACCAUCCCAUGAAAGCCAGGCUAAUGACUUUGCUUGAUUCUUGGAGGAGAGGUGCAUGG